This 216-nucleotide long non-coding RNA is filed under the name Homo sapiens (human). Its description in RNAcentral is "HSALNT0305271". The record is from RNAcentral. Lineage: Eukaryota; Metazoa; Chordata; Mammalia; Primates; Hominidae.
AGUUACUUCUUUGCUAGGUUGAGGAAAGGGUGGAAGCGCCUCCUGCAGCCACGAAUAUCCUCCAGUGCCUGAGAGAAAACGGCCUAAUCGAAAACGUCCGCGGCAUACAUCCAUUCUUAAAACUUGAGUGGCUGCUUUUCUGGGUGGAAAAGAGCGGUAUCAGACAGGGUGAGCAGUCGGGGAACGGAUGAACAAAGACUUGCACCGUGGCCCUGA